RNAcentral lists this ribosomal RNA (536 nucleotides) under Eucryptorrhynchus scrobiculatus. RNAcentral's name for it is "partial 16S large subunit ribosomal RNA". It matches the Rfam family "Bacterial large subunit ribosomal RNA", at positions 1819 to 2625 of the family's 2925-position model. The record is from RNAcentral. Lineage: Eukaryota; Metazoa; Arthropoda; Insecta; Coleoptera; Curculionidae.
GGCUUUUUGUGAAUAAUUUAAGGUCGGACCUGCCCAAUGAUAAAUUCAAUGGCCGCGGUAUUUUGACCGUGCAAAGGUAGCAUAAUCAUUAGUUUUUUAAUUGAAAGCUUGUAUGAAGGGUUUGAUGAAGAAAUAACUGUCUCUAUUUAAAUUUAUUAGAAUUUUAUUUUUAAGUAAAAAAGCUUAAAUUUUUAUAAAAGACGAGAAGACCCUAUAGAGUUUUAUAUUUUUUAUAUUAAAAGAUUUAAGAAUUUUUAUAUUUUGAUUUAAAAAAGUAUUUAGUUGGGGUGAUUAAAAAAUUAAAUAAACUUUUUUUUUAUUGAAACAUUAAUUUAUGAAUAAUUGAUCCAUAUUUUAAGGAUUAUAAGAUAAAAUUACCUUAGGGAUAACAGCGUAAUUUUUUUUAAGAGUUCAAAUCUAAAAAAAAGAUUGCGACCUCGAUGUUGGAUUAAAAUAAAAUAUUGGUGUAGAAGCUAGUAUAUUAGGUCUGUUCGACCUUUUAAAUUUUACAUGAUCUGAGUUUAAACCGGUGUAAG